RNAcentral lists this ribosomal RNA (123 nucleotides) under Pteropus alecto (black flying fox). The record is from RNAcentral. Lineage: Eukaryota; Metazoa; Chordata; Mammalia; Chiroptera; Pteropodidae.
GUCUAUGGCCACGCCACCCUGAACAAGCCCAUCCCGUCUGAUCUCAGAAGCUACGUAGGGUCGGGUCGGGCCUGGUCAGUACUUGGAUGGGAGACCACCUCGGAAGACCAGAUGCUGUAGGUG